This 71-nucleotide transfer RNA is filed under the name Roxasellana stellata. RNAcentral's name for it is "tRNA-Lys". Lineage: Eukaryota; Metazoa; Arthropoda; Insecta; Hemiptera; Cicadellidae. The record is from RNAcentral.
CAUUAAGUUACUUAAAUGCAAGUGUUGGUCUCUUAAACCAAAUCAUAGUAAUAAGCACCUACUCUUAAUGA